This 254-nucleotide ribosomal RNA is filed under the name uncultured bacterium. Its description in RNAcentral is "partial 16S ribosomal RNA". It matches the Rfam family "Bacterial small subunit ribosomal RNA", at positions 524 to 776 of the family's 1533-position model. The record is from RNAcentral.
UACGUAGGGGGCAAGCGUUGUCCGGAUUUAUUGGGCGUAAAGAGCUCGUAGGCGGUUCAGUAAGUCGGGUGUGAAAACUCAGGGCUCAACCCUGAGCGGCCACCCGAUACUGCUGUGACUUGAGUCCGGUAGGGGAGUGGGGAAUUCCUGGUGUAGCGGUGAAAUGCGCAGAUAUCAGGAGGAACACCGGUGGCGAAGGCGCCACUCUGGGCCGAGACUGACGCUGAGGAGCGAAAGCGUGGGUAGCAAACAGG